CUUAACACAUGCAAGUCGAGGGGCAGCAUUGUGAGUAGCAAUACUUACAGAUGGCGACCGGCGCAAGGGUGCGUAACGCGUGAGCAACAUGCCCGUAACAGGGGGAUAAUCCAGGGAAACUUGGUCUAAUACCGCAUAAUAUCAAUUAGAGGCAUCUUUGAUUGAUUAAAAUUUCGAUGGUUACGGAUUGGCUCGCGUGACAUUAGCUAGAUGGAGAGGUAACGGCUCACCAUGGCGACGAUGUCUAGGGGAACUGAGAGGUUUAUCCCCCCACACUGGUACUGAGACACGGACCAGACUCCUACGGGAGGCAGCAGUGAGGAAUAUUGGACAAUGGAUGGAAAUCUGAUCCAGCCAUGCCGCGUGCAGGAUUACAGCCCUAUGGGUUUUAAACUGCUUUUGUAUGGGAGCAAUAAUAUGUACGCGUACAUAGAUGAGAGUACCAUACGAAUAAGCAUCGGCUAACUCCGUG
This 472-nucleotide ribosomal RNA is filed under the name uncultured bacterium. RNAcentral's name for it is "bacterial SSU rRNA". It matches the Rfam family "Bacterial small subunit ribosomal RNA", at positions 47 to 507 of the family's 1533-position model. The record is from RNAcentral.